UCCGAUUUGGCACCGGCGGUCUCCCAUGAGUCCCCGGCAUGACCCGCUGGCAACAUGGGACAGGGGUUGCGCUCGUUGCGCCACUUAAGGCAACACCUCACGGCACGAGCUGACGACAGCCAUGCAGCACCUUUGCGAGCGCCCCGAAGGGAAGCCCCCUUUCAGGAGCGGUCGCUCGCAAUUUAGCCCAGGUAAGGUUCUUCGCGUUGCAUCGAAUUAAGCCACAUGCUCCACCGCUUGUGCGGGCCCCCGUCAAUUCCUUUGAGUUUCAUUCUUGCGAACGUACUCCCCAGGUGGUAUGCUUACUGCGUUAACUGCGUCACUGCCCCCGAAGGGACAACAACUAGCAUACAUCGUUUACGGCGUGGACUAC
This 373-nucleotide unclassified non-coding RNA is filed under the name uncultured Bacteroidota bacterium. Its description in RNAcentral is "uncultured Bacteroidetes bacterium contains 16S-23S intergenic spacer region". Lineage: Bacteria; Pseudomonadati; Bacteroidota. The record is from RNAcentral.